GGACCGGUAGCCCAAAGGCAGAGGCAGCACGUUGAGGACGUGUCCAGUGCGGGUUCGACUCCCGCUCGGUCUAC
Molecule: transfer RNA, 74 nt
Filed under: Mycobacterium phage Myrna
Lineage: Duplodnaviria; Heunggongvirae; Uroviricota; Caudoviricetes
Description: tRNA-Leu
Rfam family: tRNA
About the family: Transfer RNA (tRNA) molecules are approximately 80 nucleotides in length.
Source: RNAcentral